This 358-nucleotide long non-coding RNA is filed under the name Volvox carteri. RNAcentral's name for it is "long non-coding RNA (VCAR_LNC002777)". The record is from RNAcentral. Lineage: Eukaryota; Viridiplantae; Chlorophyta; Chlorophyceae; Chlamydomonadales; Volvocaceae.
CCCGGGGUACAUAUCACCUGGUUCGCCACCGUAGCGGAUCAUCCCGCCCUUCGCCCCACGCCGUAUACCUCGCGACUGUAGCUACCAAGUUUCCAUCAUCUUCCUUUCCAUCCCCAUCCGCGCCCGCACCCAUACCCGCACCCACACCCACACCCAUACCCACACCCAUACCCACAGCCGCACCUCGCCUGCUACGCUAUCCCCUUUCCCCUCUCACCUCCCAAUGGGCCCCCGCUAGCUCCGCCCCGCCCCACAUCCCAUACACACACACACACGCUCGCUCUCUCACCUGCCACCCCCCCUAGCUCCGGUUUAUCGUCCGCGGGUCCCCCCCGGGUGUUCUCCGUACCGCUGCCCG